GGCUCAUUAAAUCAGUUAUCGUUUAUUUGAUAGUACCUUACUACAUGGAUAACCGUGGUAAUUCUAGAGCUAAUACAUGCUAAAAACCCCGACUUCGGAAGGGGUGUAUUUAUUAAAUAAAAAACCAAUGCCCUUCGGGGCUCCUUGGUGAAUCAUAAUAACUUAACGAAUCGCAUGGCCUUGCGCCGGCGAUGGUUCAUUCAAAUUUCUGCCCUAUCAACUUUCGAUGGUAGGAUAGUGGCCUACCAUGGUUUCAACGGGUAACGGGGAAUUAGGGUUCGACUCCGGAGAGGGAGCCUGAGAAACGGCUACCACAUCCAAGGAAGGCAGCAGGCGCGCAAAUUACCCAAUCCCGACACGGGGAGGUAGUGACAAUAAAUACUGAUACAGGGCUCUUUUGGGUCUUGUAAUUGGAAUGAGUACAAUUUAAAUCCCUUAACGAGGAACAAUUGGAGGGCAAGUCUGGUGCCAACAACCGCGGUAAUUCCAGCUCCAAUAGCGUAUAUUAAAGUUGUUGCAGUUAAAAAGCUCGUAGUUGAACCUUGGGCCUGGCUGGCCGGUCCGCCUCACCGCGUGUACUGGUCCGGCCGGGCCUUUCCUUCUGGGGAACCUCAUGUCCUUCACUGGGCGUGACGGGGAACCAGGACUUUUACUUUGAAAAAAUUAGAGUGUUCAAAGCAGGCCUUUGCUCGAAUACAUUAGCAUGGAAUAAUAGAAUAGGACGUGUGGUUCUAUUUUGUUGGUUUCUAGGACCGCCGUAAUGAUUAAUAGGGAUAGUCGGGGGCAUCUGUAUUCAAUUGUCAGAGGUGAAAUUCUUGGAUUUAUUGAAGACAAACUACUGCGAAAGCAUUUGCCAAGGAUGUUUUCAUUAAUCAGUGAACGAAAGUUAGGGGAUCGAAGACGAUCAGAUACCGUCGUAGUCUUACCCAUAAACUAUGCCGACUAGGGAUCGGUGGAUGUUACUAUUUUGACUCCAUCGGCACCUUACGAGAAAUC
Molecule: ribosomal RNA, 996 nt
Filed under: Brunneomycosphaerella laburni
Lineage: Eukaryota; Fungi; Ascomycota; Dothideomycetes; Capnodiales
Description: SSU rRNA
Rfam family: Eukaryotic small subunit ribosomal RNA
Source: RNAcentral